This 198-nucleotide ribosomal RNA is filed under the name uncultured bacterium. RNAcentral's name for it is "partial 16S ribosomal RNA". It matches the Rfam family "Bacterial small subunit ribosomal RNA", at positions 335 to 524 of the family's 1533-position model. The record is from RNAcentral.
ACUCCUACGGGAGGCAGCAGUGGGGAAUUUUGGACAAUGGGGGCAACCCUGAUCCAGCCAUGCCGCGUGAGUGAAGAAGGCCUUCGGGUUGUAAAGCUCUUUUCGGCCGGGAAGAAAUCGUAUGGGUUAAUACCCUGUGUGGAUGACGGUACCGGAAUAAGAAGCACCGGCUAACUACGUGCCAGCAGCCGCGGUAAU